AUAUCGAAUUUCCGGGUAUUCAGCUUUUUAUGCUGACUUUCAUUCGCAACAGUAUUACUACUUUGGAGGGAGGGGGUAUUGCGUCGUAUCAAUUCACAGACAUAAAAAAAGCGCCCGCAGGCGCUUUUUUAUU
Molecule: small RNA, 133 nt
Filed under: Enterobacter sichuanensis
Lineage: Bacteria; Pseudomonadati; Pseudomonadota; Gammaproteobacteria; Enterobacterales; Enterobacteriaceae
Description: Enterobacteria sRNA STnc130
Rfam family: Enterobacteria sRNA STnc130
Source: RNAcentral